Molecule: long non-coding RNA, 1735 nt
Organism: Octopus sinensis (East Asian common octopus)
Lineage: Eukaryota; Metazoa; Mollusca; Cephalopoda; Octopoda; Octopodidae
Exons: 2
Source: RefSeq, a predicted model, not a curated record
UUCUUUCGUUUGAAAUUUGAAAACAAUGAUUUAAAAAACAAGAAACCCAUAUUAAAAGACUUCACAAGAAAUACGAAUAUCAAAUUCAUGGAUAAUAUUUCCAAAUGAGACAUUUUGGACUGUUCUGUGAUCCAAAACAGAAAAUCCGGCCGGAACUUCUUACGUCUUGCCACAGUUAACUCCCCUGACUCGAUGAUGGCUCUCUUUGCUUUCCAUAACUGUUCAGUCUUAUUUUCGAGACAUUUUGUCACUUGUAGACCAGACAGAGUCGUUGUCGGCGGCCUAUCCACCCCCAUGUCGGAGUUGUGAGCUAGAGAGAAAGUACAGCCGGGAACAGAAAGUGUCAAAACCAAAGGCCUGCUCUCCACCCUGAGCAUUUACAGUCGACUGGGGGGACGGCUUGCUGUAAGUACACAGAUACAUUCAUCCGAAAGGAUGGCAACAGUGUGAUGUCCAACUCGGCGGGAGAUAUGAAACACCAAAGAAGGCCAUGAUUCACGGCUGAUCAUUGAAGGCGAACAACUAACAUGGUGGCUAUUCAGUGUUGUCUGUGUAUUAACACAGAGGGGAUGGGGAGCCAGGCGUGCCCUCUGGUGAUCACAUCCUUCUAGUCCCUUACUGGUUCAUGAUGACACCUUGGCUUGCGGGGUAAAGUCUUUCUGGCCACAGCGCAACACUUCAGUUGCGCCCAAGUUUUAUUUAUAUCCCAACAGCAACAAUAACAACACAAAACAAUACAAAAACAACAGUUACAACAACAACAACAACAAUAAUAAUAAUUGAAUAAUAAUAAUAGCAAUAAUAAUUAUGAUGGCAGUGGUUGGGGAUUUGUUAUUUAAUUAAUAUAUUCUCCUAUUUUCUUACUACCUCUUUGUUUAGGUAACGAGCUAAUGAGCUUGAUAUUGCAGUAUUAGCUAUUAGCAUGUUUAAUUGUGAGAAGUGGCUCCGUUUAAUUAACAAAUAAAUUGCUCUAUCGUGCUGACAUCAUCAAUAUCAGCUGUAUUAUAGCUAUACAUACAACUUAUAUGUAUAUAUAUAGAUAGAUAGAUAUAUAUAUAUAGAGAGAGAGCAAGAGAGUGUAACAUACAGAUUUUCUAUAACGAACCAUCCAUCCAAAUUGUAAAAAGUAAUUAAUUAUGAUGCUAACGAUAUCCAUUGAUAUUGAAUAUAAUUGCAGUAACGUAAACUAAAUUGACUAAACUGCAGUGGUGAUAACCAUUCUAUUUACUUUGUAAUUAGUCCGUAAUGGUCUCUGAAAGCACCAUCAAUUUUAGUCUCUUUUGAACGGUCACACUAGCUGUGAUAUCACUAUCAGCAAACACCGAAACAGUUAUUGUUCCAUUUGAUAACAAUUUUAGAUAUAGUCUGCCCUGUGUCUCGAUGUCCAUCCACAGCACUGAUUGAAGUGAUAUCAGCUUCUGUUAAACAAUAUCUUUGAGACAAUAACACCAGGUCCGUCAUAUAAACCUCUACAAACAAUGAUACUCCCAUGGUAAUAAUGUUAUUUUAACAAACAUCAAUACUAUUACAUACAACAUCUAACACUGCAUCAUCAUCAUCAUCAUUAUUAUUAUUUAAGGAAUUAUUAUUAUUAUUUAAGAACUUAUUAUUAUCUAAUAUUGUAGGCCAGUUAAUUGAUGAUAUUGUUAUCAUUAUCAUUAUUAUUUAACUUGUCAUUGCGUGAGAACACACGAUGACAAACCGAUUUUGCCGGGCUCAAUAAAAACAAAAAAAA